CAGGCCUAACACAUGCAAGUCGAGCGCGCCCUUCGGGGUGAGCGGCGGACGGGUUAGUAACGCGUGGGAAUAUACCCUUUUCUGCGGAAUAGCCUCUGGAAACGGAGAGUAAUACCGCAUACGCCCUUCGGGGGAAAGAUUUAUCGGGGAAGGAUUAGCCCGCGUUAGAUUAGGUAGUUGGUGGGGUAAUGGCCUACCAAGCCUACGAUCUAUAGCUGGUUUUAGAGGAUGAUCAGCAACACUGGGACUGAGACACGGCCCAGACUCCUACGGGAGGCAGCAGUGGGGAAUCUUGGACAAUGGGGGCAACCCUGACCCAGCCAUGCCGCGUGAGUGAUGAAGGCCUUAGGGUCGUAAAGCUCUUUCGCCUGUGAAGAUAAUGACGGUAGCAGGUAAAGAAACCCCGGCUAACUCCGUGCCAGCAGCCGCGGUAAUACGGAGGGGGUUAGCGUUGUUCGGAAUUACUGGGCGUAAAGCGCACGUAGGCGGACUGGAAAGUUGGGGGUGAAAUCCCAGGGCUCAACCCUGGAACUGCCUCCAAAACUAUCAGUCUAGAGUUCGAGAGAGGUGAGUGGAAUUCCGAGUGUAGA
Molecule: ribosomal RNA, 590 nt
Filed under: uncultured bacterium
Lineage: Bacteria
Description: bacterial SSU rRNA
Rfam family: Bacterial small subunit ribosomal RNA
Source: RNAcentral